This 67-nucleotide transfer RNA is filed under the name Marmota monax (woodchuck). RNAcentral's name for it is "tRNA.Ala". The record is from RNAcentral. Lineage: Eukaryota; Metazoa; Chordata; Mammalia; Rodentia; Sciuridae.
GGUUCUGGUUCAGUGGUAGAACACCUACCUGGCAUGCGUGAGGCACUGGGUUUGAUCCUCAGCACCA